RNAcentral lists this ribosomal RNA (314 nucleotides) under uncultured soil bacterium. Its description in RNAcentral is "bacterial SSU rRNA". It matches the Rfam family "Bacterial small subunit ribosomal RNA", at positions 1082 to 1397 of the family's 1533-position model. The record is from RNAcentral.
AAGUCCCGUAACGAGCGCAACCCUCGCCCUUAGUUGCCAUCAUUCAGUUGGGCACUCUAAGGGGACUGCCGGUGAUAAGCCGCGAGGAAGGUGGGGAUGACGUCAAGUCCUCAUGGCCCUUACGGGCUGGGCUACACACGUGCUACAAGGGCGGUGACAAUGGGACGCAAUGGAGCAAUCCUGCGCAAAUCUCAAAAAGCCGUCUCAGUUCGGAUUGGGGUCUGCAACUCGACCCCAUGAAGUCGGAAUCGCUAGUAAUCGUAGAUCAGCACGCUACGGUGAAUACGUUCCCGGGCCUUGUACACACCGCCCGU